Molecule: long non-coding RNA, 579 nt
Organism: Daphnia carinata
Lineage: Eukaryota; Metazoa; Arthropoda; Branchiopoda; Diplostraca; Daphniidae
Exons: 4
Source: RefSeq, a predicted model, not a curated record
AAUGACAAAAAUGUUAUCAUUUGAAUAUCUUCGUCUGAUUUUGCAACACUUUAUCCACUCAUCAACUGUCAGUUCGGAUCUGACAAAUGUGGUUUAUACCUCUGUGUUGUGUGGCCAACAAAAUUCAUCACCGUUUCAGCAGCCUUUCUGCCAUUCCUACCUAACCAACCAACACACAUAGACAUGGACCUCAAAACGAUUUUCCUGUGGACUUCCAAGUCUUUACUUUCUUCUUCGUAAUUCCUGGCCUCACAAUCUUUUUAGUAUUUGGGUAAAAGCUAGCUAGGGCAUUUUCCUUUACUGUCCCAUGUAAAAAGACCUUCAAGAUUCCGGUAUCUAAGUAUCAACUCUCUCAAGCCAUCUAAAUGUAGCGCCAUGACAGCAAAAUGAAAAAAAUGUGAUGGAAUGGCGAAUAGUAAAUAAGCAGUGGCCUGUAGGAGAUCAUCGUGGAACAUCGUGCAAAGUAUUGUUGUAUAGCCCGUCUUCGCCUCGGCCGUCGCCCCUUCUUCGCCUCGUGGUCGCGCCGUCUUCGCCUAGCCCGUCGUCCCGUCUUCGCCUCGUGGUCGCGCCGUCUUCGCC